Molecule: ribosomal RNA, 2794 nt
Filed under: Klebsiella pneumoniae
Lineage: Bacteria; Pseudomonadati; Pseudomonadota; Gammaproteobacteria; Enterobacterales; Enterobacteriaceae
Description: partial 23S ribosomal RNA
Rfam family: Bacterial large subunit ribosomal RNA
Source: RNAcentral
GGUUAAGCGACUAAGCGUACACGGUGGAUGCCCUGGCAGUCAGAGGCGAUGAAGGACGUGCUAAUCUGCGAAAAGCGUCGGUAAGGUGAUAUGAACCGUUAUAACCGGCGAUGUCCGAAUGGGGAAACCCAGUGCAAUUCGUUGCACUAUCGUUAACUGAAUACAUAGGUUAACGAGGCGAACCGGGGGAACUGAAACAUCUAAGUACCCCGAGGAAAAGAAAUCAACCGAGAUUCCCCCAGUAGCGGCGAGCGAACGGGGAGCAGCCCAGAGUCUGAAUCAGCUUGUGUGUUAGUGGAACGGUCUGGAAAGUCCGACGGUACAGGGUGAUAGUCCCGUACACCAAAAUGCACAGGCUGUGAACUCGAAGAGUAGGGCGGGACACGUGGUAUCCUGUCUGAAUAUGGGGGGACCAUCCUCCAAGGCUAAAUACUCCUGACUGACCGAUAGUGAACCAGUACCGUGAGGGAAAGGCGAAAAGAACCCCGGCGAGGGGAGUGAAAAAGAACCUGAAACCGUGUACGUACAAGCAGUGGGAGCACCUUCGGGUGUGACUGCGUACCUUUUGUAUAAUGGGUCAGCGACUUAUAUUCUGUAGCAAGGUUAACCGUAUAGGGGAGCCGCAGGGAAACCGAGUCUUAACUGGGCGUUAAGUUGCAGGGUAUAGACCCGAAACCCGGUGAUCUAGCCAUGGGCAGGUUGAAGGUUGGGUAACACUAACUGGAGGACCGAACCGACUAAUGUUGAAAAAUUAGCGGAUGACUUGUGGCUGGGGGUGAAAGGCCAAUCAAACCGGGAGAUAGCUGGUUCUCCCCGAAAGCUAUUUAGGUAGCGCCUCGUGAAUUCAUCUUCGGGGGUAGAGCACUGUUUCGGCUAGGGGGUCAUCCCGACUUACCAACCCGAUGCAAACUACGAAUACCGAAGAAUGUUAUCACGGGAGACACACGGCGGGUGCUAACGUCCGUCGUGAAGAGGGAAACAACCCAGACCGCCAGCUAAGGUCCCAAAGUCAUGGUUAAGUGGGAAACGAUGUGGGAAGGCACAGACAGCCAGGAUGUUGGCUUAGAAGCAGCCAUCAUUUAAAGAAAGCGUAAUAGCUCACUGGUCGAGUCGGCCUGCGCGGAAGAUGUAACGGGGCUAAACCAUGCACCGAAGCUGCGGCAGCGACACUAUGUGUUGUUGGGUAGGGGAGCGUUCUGUAAGCCUGCGAAGGUGACCUGUGAGGGUUGCUGGAGGUAUCAGAAGUGCGAAUGCUGACAUAAGUAACGAUAAAGCGGGUGAAAAGCCCGCUCGCCGGAAGACCAAGGGUUCCUGUCCAACGUUAAUCGGGGCAGGGUGAGUCGACCCCUAAGGCGAGGCCGAAAGGCGUAGUCGAUGGGAAACAGGUUAAUAUUCCUGUACUUGGUGUUACUGCGAAGGGGGGACGGAGAAGGCUAUGUUAGCCGGGCGACGGUUGUCCCGGUUUAAGCAUGUAGGCUGGUUAUCCAGGCAAAUCCGGAUAAUCAAGGCUGAGGUGUGAUGACGAGGCACUACGGUGCUGAAGUAACAAAUGCCCUGCUUCCAGGAAAAGCCUCUAAGCAUCAGGUAACAUCAAAUCGUACCCCAAACCGACACAGGUGGUCAGGUAGAGAAUACCAAGGCGCUUGAGAGAACUCGGGUGAAGGAACUAGGCAAAAUGGUGCCGUAACUUCGGGAGAAGGCACGCUGGUGUGUAGGUGAAGUCCCUGCGGAUGGAGCUGAGACCAGUCGAAGAUACCAGCUGGCUGCAACUGUUUAUUAAAAACACAGCACUGUGCAAACACGAAAGUGGACGUAUACGGUGUGACGCCUGCCCGGUGCCGGAAGGUUAAUUGAUGGGGUUAUCCGUAAGGAGAAGCUCUUGAUCGAAGCCCCGGUAAACGGCGGCCGUAACUAUAACGGUCCUAAGGUAGCGAAAUUCCUUGUCGGGUAAGUUCCGACCUGCACGAAUGGCGUAAUGAUGGCCAGGCUGUCUCCACCCGAGACUCAGUGAAAUUGAACUCGCUGUGAAGAUGCAGUGUACCCGCGGCAAGACGGAAAGACCCCGUGAACCUUUACUAUAGCUUGACACUGAACAUUGAGCCUUGAUGUGUAGGAUAGGUGGGAGGCUUUGAAGCGUGGACGCCAGUCUGCGUGGAGCCAACCUUGAAAUACCACCCUUUAAUGUUUGAUGUUCUAACGUUGGCCCCUUACCGGGGUUGCGGACAGUGUCUGGUGGGUAGUUUGACUGGGGCGGUCUCCUCCCAAAGCGUAACGGAGGAGCACGAAGGUUAGCUAAUCCUGGUCGGACAUCAGGAGGUUAGUGCAAUGGCAUAAGCUAGCUUGACUGCGAGCGUGACGGCGCGAGCAGGUGCGAAAGCAGGUCAUAGUGAUCCGGUGGUUCUGAAUGGAAGGGCCAUCGCUCAACGGAUAAAAGGUACUCCGGGGAUAACAGGCUGAUACCGCCCAAGAGUUCAUAUCGACGGCGGUGUUUGGCACCUCGAUGUCGGCUCAUCACAUCCUGGGGCUGAAGUAGGUCCCAAGGGUAUGGCUGUUCGCCAUUUAAAGUGGUACGCGAGCUGGGUUUAGAACGUCGUGAGACAGUUCGGUCCCUAUCUGCCGUGGGCGCUGGAGAAUUGAGGGGGGCUGCUCCUAGUACGAGAGGACCGGAGUGGACGCAUCACUGGUGUUCGGGUUGUCAUGCCAAUGGCACUGCCCGGUAGCUAAAUGCGGAAGAGAUAAGUGCUGAAAGCAUCUAAGCACGAAACUUGCCCCGAGAUGAGUUCUCCCUGAGACU